RNAcentral lists this long non-coding RNA (2261 nucleotides) under Lupinus angustifolius (narrow-leaved blue lupine). Its description in RNAcentral is "long non-coding RNA (LANG_LNC001611)". Lineage: Eukaryota; Viridiplantae; Streptophyta; Magnoliopsida; Fabales; Fabaceae. The record is from RNAcentral.
UGUAUACCAGCAACUGCAGGAGUUAGAGCACAAGAUCUUUGGAUCAAACAAUGGUGGAAGCUCAAUGCUGCCCGGUUUUCCACCUGCAAGUUCAAUUAGCUUUGGCUUCCCAAAGAUCAAUGAUUCACCUCCGCUUCCUGCCUUCGGCGGUGUUGGAACUAAUUCAAUUUUCGCCCGACCACCCCUAGACUUCGCUCCAACCACAUUUACAUUCGGAGCUGGUCCAGUGCAGAAUAGUGCAACUGGAAGCACAUUUACUGCAAAUCCACCUAACAAUCCACAUGGUUCUGAUAUCCAAAUGGAUGGUUGUUGAUUCUGACCAGCAUCCUCUGUGUGAUUAUGCUGCUUGAUGAUUUAUCCGCGGUAUAGUUUAUAUAGGUACCAAGGUUGCCAACUGUUAUAUUUCAAGUCAAGGUGCAGUAAUCAUAUAAGUGGCUUGUCAAAUUCUUCUAUACAGAGUUCUUUUUCUCAUGUGUUUCAAAUCUUUUAAUUUAUCUGGUAGUAGUAGUGGACUAGUAGUAUUGAAUUUCAGGAUAUUUAGUUAUUUAAUGGCUUGAUAUGCUUGUUUCAGUGUAUCUGCACUUUGACAUUGUCUAGUUUUUAAUUUGGCAAAAUUCUACCCUAUAAAGUAUACAACUUUAAACAAUCAUGUUGCCAUUAUUGAUUUACAAGAAAUGGGUUGAAAAAUUUGGAGACAAGUUAUGAUUUUGUAGUUUUACUGAAAAUUUAUCCAUGAAAUUAUCCUAACAGAGUAGUAGCAUAAGAAGAUGCAUAUUAUAAAGUAACCAUGUGAGUUAUUCAGCUUGCACUUGGACUCCAUUUCAUGGUCCAUUUGUUUAGGAUUCUCCAAAAUUCAUUUUGACAUAAAUGUUUUUUAGAAUGUUGAGAUUCUUUUUUUGUACAAAUAUUUUUGGUGAAGUUCUGCCAAAACAUUUUUAGUGAAAUUAAGCUAAACAAAUUUAAAAAGCUCAAUUUUAUUACAAAAGUGAUGCUAAGUUCAAUUUAUUUUCCACUCUACUUCUCCAAUAUCAGUUUAUUUGCAUCCUUAUCCUGUUAUCACUAUUGUUCCAUGAUUUUCUUCCCUUUCCACUCCUAUCUAGUAAAAGCUCGAAUAAGAUUCAUGUGCUGCAUCUUUCUUGUUCUUUUUAAAGAGUGUAAAUUGAGGUACAUAAUAACUUUAUUAUGAAAUGCUAAAAACAAAACAUACACUUGUAAAUGCUUGGUAAUAUUUCUUGUUUGAAAAUAUUUAGAUGAAACAAGAUGUUAGGUUUUUAGGUAUGUUCUGUCUUGUCUAUUUAAAUUUCAUGUCUUGACCAUUUUAUUUAGUAAUGUGCCUCUUUCAACUUGUAAUUAGUUUACAAUUUUUAUAAAUACCUAUGAAACAUGAUAAUUAUACAUACUAUUGGAAUAUCAGUUAGUACCUUCAUGCUUUGUUUCUUUUAUUUAUUUUGAUUUAUCACGUAUUUUCAGUUUAUACUCAUUCAGGCAGCACGUGCACAUUCUGAAGUCGUCAAUUUAAGAUCCAUUUAUAGUUGAUAUUGGUGAUUAUUUCCCUGUGUUUCUUCUAUUUACCCUUAUAAUGAAAUCAAUACUGUGCUUAUUCUACAGAGCAAUGUGAGAAGGACAAGGCUCGUGUGCUGGUUCAUUGCAUGUCAGGAAAGAAUCGGUAUGAUAUUGCUGCAAUGUGCAUGACAUUAAUACUCUGCACCAAUAUUCGUAUUUGCAUGUGUGUGUAUUAAUUUCAUCUGCAUCACAUAUGGUAGGUCUCCAGCUAUUGUGAUUGCAUACUUGAUGAAGUCCAAAGGAUGGAGACUUGCACAGUGUUAUCAGUGGGUAAAAGAACGGAGACCGUCUGUUGAAUUAACUGAAGGUAUAUUUUCUAUUUCCAAAUUUGCUCCCAUCUCAAGUGGUAAAACUCAUGUGCGUUUUUCUAAUAUCGGGUGCAAUUAUUACAGUGAAUACUUGCACCUUUUCAUUUCUUUAUUUUCCAUCAUGGUACUUACCAUCUUUCUGACAUGUGUCCCUCCUUUCUUAAUAAUGUAGGUGUAUACCAGCAACUGCAGGAGUUAGAGCACAAGAUCUUUGGAUCAAACAAUGGUGGAAGCUCAAUGCUGCCCGGUUUUCCACCUGCAAGUUCAAUUAGCUUUGGCUUCCCAAAGAUCAAUGAUUCACCUCCGCUUCCUGCCUUCGGCGGUGUUGGAACUAAUUCAAUUUUCGCCCGACCACCCCUAGACUUCGCUCCAACCACAUUUACAUUCGGA